GUACCUAUCUCAGCAAAGAGCCUCACUUGAUUACCAUCUUGCUUAGCCUCAAAGAGUUGCUGAGAGCUAAAUUAAUUGAGUGCGGCUGGAAGGAUCAGUUGAAGGCACACUGUAAAGAUAAUGAUUUUAAAUGAUAUGAUUUGUUUUUUGCUUUUGCAUAAGAGGUAAUUAAAGAAAAAGGACUAGAACACGUUACUGUUGAUGACUUGGUGGCUGAAAUCACUCCAAAAGGCAGAG
RNAcentral lists this long non-coding RNA (237 nucleotides) under Rattus norvegicus (Norway rat). Its description in RNAcentral is "long non-coding RNA NONRATT025947". Lineage: Eukaryota; Metazoa; Chordata; Mammalia; Rodentia; Muridae. The record is from RNAcentral.